Molecule: transfer RNA, 76 nt
Filed under: Candidatus Roizmanbacteria bacterium CG_4_10_14_0_2_um_filter_36_9
Lineage: Bacteria; Candidatus Roizmaniibacteriota
Description: tRNA-Val
Rfam family: tRNA
About the family: Transfer RNA (tRNA) molecules are approximately 80 nucleotides in length. Their secondary structure includes four short double-helical elements and three loops (D, anti-codon, and T loops).
Source: RNAcentral
GGACUCGUAGCUCAGUUGGUAGAGCGCUCGGUUUACAUCCGAUAGGUCACAGGUUCGAGUCCUGUCGAGUCCACAA